This 563-nucleotide unclassified non-coding RNA is filed under the name Hevea brasiliensis (rubber tree). Lineage: Eukaryota; Viridiplantae; Streptophyta; Magnoliopsida; Malpighiales; Euphorbiaceae. The record is from RNAcentral.
UGAGCAGCUUGCCUCAAAGCAUCAAAAGUCAGAAAAUCGCCCUCUUUUAUUUGGAAGGUCUCCCUCAGAUAUUCCAAUCGUGCAAGCAAUAUUCUGCUUAAUGUGUAUUGGAAUGGAACGCCAAACAUGAUAACAAGCCUCCCAUAGUGUCUAUCAAAGUCUAUACCUUCAGCCACUUUUCCCCUAGCAACUGAGAAGAAAACUGCACCCCUCCCACUAUCACAAGCCUUGCGAUAAUUAUCCAAAGCCAAUGUAGUCUCUACAACAUCUUGGGUCUCGAUAAAUACAAGUUUAUGUUGCAUUAUAUCCUUUAAUAUUCCUGAUUCAUGCCAACUGUUGACAAUUCCAUCCAUAUAAGAGUAACUGACAAAAAAACAGACAACCCCAUCUGGAACAACAGAAACCAUUUCUAGCAAAAGCUUCCCAUAAUUUUUCUCGACGCCCGGAUCGCUUCUCAGGUCAUACUUAGUGCUUACAGGAAGCUGAUCACUUCCCCGGGUAAGGACCAUUGGGCAUAUGCAAUCCCUUGUCAGUGACAUCUUGAAGCUUCGACUUACUACCGG